AUGGCCUCGAGCUCCCUCCCGCUCCUCGCCCUCCUGGCCCUGCUGGCCCUGCCAGGGCUCCGGGCGGCCGUGACCCUGCUGGAGUCUGGGGGGGACCUCCAGCCCCCCGGGGGGUCCCUGACUCUGCUCUGCCACGCCUCUGGGUUCAAUUUCGGUGAUUACGGAAUGGGCUGGAUGCGCCAGAGAACCGGGAAAGGGCUGGAAUUUGUCGCCAGUAUCCACAACAGUGAUGGCAGAACAUGGUACGGGUCGUGGGUGCAGGGCCGGUUCAGGAUCUCCAGGGACAACGGGCAGAGCUCGGUGACGCUGACCAUGAACAACCUCAAGGACGAGGAUUCCGGUUCUUAUUUCUGCGUCAAAUGUGCUGACAGUGGAUGUUACAGUGGUAAUGCUGCUGCUGCUGCUAAUCCUGGUUAUAUUGACAACACCGGUUGUGCUCCCAAGCCCCCAUAA
Non-coding RNA from Oenanthe melanoleuca, 453 nucleotides. NCBI's taxonomy places the organism in Eukaryota, Metazoa, Chordata, Aves, Passeriformes, Muscicapidae. The record is from the annotation of a RefSeq genome assembly.